CUUCUCUGAACCCUCUCUAAGGUAUCAAUAUCCUUCUGGAGAGACAGUCUCCAGUACUGUGUACAAUACUCCAAGUGAGGUCUCACCAGUGUUCUGUACAAUGGCAUGAGCACUUCCCUCUUUCUACUGCUAAUACCUCUCCCUAUACAACCAAGCAUUCUGCUAGCAUUUCCUGCUGCUCUAUUACAUUGUCUGCCUACCUUUAAGUCCUCAGAAAUAAUCACCCCUAAAUCC
Molecule: non-coding RNA, 234 nt
Organism: Pelobates cultripes (western spadefoot toad)
Lineage: Eukaryota; Metazoa; Chordata; Amphibia; Anura; Pelobatidae
Source: the annotation of a GenBank genome assembly